Molecule: ribosomal RNA, 449 nt
Filed under: uncultured bacterium
Lineage: Bacteria
Description: bacterial SSU rRNA
Rfam family: Bacterial small subunit ribosomal RNA
Source: RNAcentral
GUGGGGAAUCUUGCGCAAUGGACGAAAGUCUGACGCAGCGACGCCGCGUGAGUGAUGAAGGCCUUCGGGUUGUAAAGCUCUGUGGGGAGGGACGAAUAAGUGCUGGCUAAUAUCCAGCGCGAUGACGGUACCUCCUUAGCAAGCACCGGCUAACUCUGUGCCAGCAGCCGCGGUAAGACAGAGGGUGCAAACGUUGUUCGGAAUUACUGGGCGUAAAGCGUGUGUAGGCUGCCGCGUAAGUCGGGUGUGAAAGCCCCGGGCUCAACCCGGGAAGUGCACUCGAUACUGCGUGGCUAGAGUACUGGAGAGGUUGGUGGAAUUCUCGGUGUAGAGGUGAAAUUCGUAGAUAUCGAGAGGAACACCGGUGGCGAAGGCGGCCAACUGGACAGAUACUGACGCUGAGACACGAAAGCGUGGGGAGCAAACAGGAUUAGAUACCCGAGUAGUCC